UACAGAGGAGCCAAGCGUUGUCCGGAUUGACUGGGCGUAAAGCGCACGCAGGCGGUUGCGCGCGUGGGGUGUGAAAUCUGGCCGCUUAACGGCCAGGCGCCAUCCCAUACGGCGCGACUGGAGUGAUGCAGAGGUCGAUGGAAUUGCCGGUGUAGUGGUGAAAUGCGUAGAUAUCUGGAGGAACACCGGUGGCGAAGGCGACAUCCUGGACCGGUAUUGACGCUGAGGCGCGAAAGCCAGGGGAGCAAACGGGG
This 254-nucleotide ribosomal RNA is filed under the name uncultured bacterium. RNAcentral describes it as "partial 16S ribosomal RNA". It matches the Rfam family "Bacterial small subunit ribosomal RNA", at positions 524 to 777 of the family's 1533-position model. The record is from RNAcentral.